AAGUCUUGAUCUUUUUAAGAAUCUAAGUUUCUUCUUCUCUUCCAUUGUAUCUUCCCCAAUUUCAGGUGGUAUAUGUAGUGUAACAUCUUCUCCAUCCAUUGUUGAGUGAUCUCUCUUGUAGGAGUGCAAUUUAUGUAAUCUUAGCUAUUGUUUGUUGCUUGUUUGUUGUUUUUUGCCCAUUUUUUCUUUCUCUCUGUUUGUUAUCUUGUUUUUUUUUCCUUUUUAUCCGAUUAUUUGUCAUCUUGAGUCUUUCUUUUUUCUCCUUUCCCUCUCGCAUCACCUUGUGUUAUCACUUUGUUUAAAAUCAUGAAGCAUAUUAGAACUAGAACAGACACUAAUCG
RNAcentral lists this long non-coding RNA (341 nucleotides) under Lathyrus oleraceus (garden pea). Its description in RNAcentral is "Pisum sativum (pea) long non-coding RNA (PSAT_LNC001509)". Lineage: Eukaryota; Viridiplantae; Streptophyta; Magnoliopsida; Fabales; Fabaceae. The record is from RNAcentral.